AGUCGAGCAAAUAAGAGCGUACGGUGGAUGCCUUGGCAUCAAGGGCCGAAGAAGGGCGCGGCAAGACUGCGAUAAGCCCCGGUCAGCUGUCUAGUAAGCUUAGCCGGGGGUUCCCGAAUGGGGAAACCCACUCAGGCAAACCCUGAGUACCCCCAACUGAACACAUAGGUUGGGUGGAGGUAAGUGGGGGAAGUGAAACAUCUCAGUACCCCGAGGAAAAGAAAUUAUUCUCCUAGUAGUGGCGAACGAACGGGGAAAAGCCCAAACCUUUUAAGCCUAACGGUUUUAAGACCUAUGCUUAAGAGGGGUUGUAAGGCAAGAUCUGGUUCAGCUUAAAAUGAGCCGGGAAGUUACAAACCAAACUCUAACCGAAGGUCUCUGGAAAGAGCCACCGCAGAGGGUGAUAGUCCUGUAGGUGAAAGAGGGAGGCUUCCUAAUCUUGUUCUUGAGUACCACGGGACACGAGAAAUCUUGUGGGAAUCUGCCCAGACCACUGGGUAAGGCUAAAUACCCUUGAUGACCGAUAGUGUACCAGUACCGUGAGGGAAAGGUGAAAAGUACCCCGAGAGGGGAGUGAAAUAGACCUGAAACCGUAUGCUUACAAGCUGUCAGAGGAGCCUUGUGCUCUAAUGGCGUGCCUAUUGAAGAAUGAGCCGACGAGUUAAUUUAUGUAGCCGGUUAAGUAAUUAAGUUACGGAGCCAAAGCGAAAGCGAGUCUGAAUAGGGCGAAUAUGGUUGUAUGGAUUAGACCCGAAGCCGGGUGAGCUACCCAUGGCCAGGGUGAAGCUCCGAUAAUCUCGGAGUGGAGGCCCGAACCGGUCAACGUUGCAAAGUUGUCGGAUGAGCUGUGGGUAGAGGUGAAAUGCCAAGCGAACCCGGGAAUAGCUGGUUCUCCCCGAAAUGCAUUUAGGUGCAGCCUCAGGUGUUAGCUAAUGGAGGUAGGGCACUGGAUGGACUCGGCGGGAGAGAUCCUGCCAAAUCUAACCAAACCACGAAUGCCAUUAGCCUAGAGCCUGGGAGUGAGACUGCGGGGGAUAAGCUCCGUAGUCGAAAGGGAAACAGCCCAGACCAUCAGCUAAGGUCCCCAAGAGUAUACUAAGUGGCAAAGGAAGUAGAAAUGUGCAGACAGCCAGGAGGUUGGCUUAGAAGCAGCCACCCUUUAAAGAGUGCGUAAUAGCUCACUGGUUGAAUGAUUCUGCGCCGAUAAUUUAGCGGGGCUAAGUAUACCACCGAAGCUAUGGCUUUCCGAUUUUUAUCGGGAGGGGUAGGGGAGCGUCCCACAAGCGUCGAAGGUGAACUGUAAGGUUUGCUGGAGCUGGUGGAAGUGAGAAUGUCGGCAUGAGUAACGUAAGAUAUGUGAGAAACAUAUCCACCGAAUACCUAAGGUUUCCUACGGAAGGUUAAUCCGCGUAGGGUUAGUCGGGCCUAAGCCG
This 1433-nucleotide ribosomal RNA is filed under the name Chloroflexota bacterium. RNAcentral describes it as "Chloroflexi bacterium (marine sediment metagenome) partial 23S ribosomal RNA". It matches the Rfam family "Bacterial large subunit ribosomal RNA", at positions 1 to 1398 of the family's 2925-position model. Lineage: Bacteria; Bacillati; Chloroflexota. The record is from RNAcentral.